This is a long non-coding RNA of Drosophila guanche, 1165 nucleotides long. RefSeq lists it as uncharacterized. The record is from RefSeq and is a predicted model, not a curated record. The transcript is spliced from 2 exons. Lineage: Eukaryota; Metazoa; Arthropoda; Insecta; Diptera; Drosophilidae.
GUUUCUGUCGACAUAAGAUAGUUUAUUUGUUUCUCUCGAUGAGGGAUUCUAGUAUUUAAUCGGUGUCACUGAUAUAUUCGUGCUGAAAACUUUUCUGUCGAUAAAAAAAAUGGGCACAAAUGAGAAUUUGGAACCGACCAUUUUAAUUUAUUGCCGGCUGUGAAAUGAAAACGUGUGGUUCUGGAAGAUCUUUUGAAAUGACUACGCAGUUUUGCCAUUUUGGUAGAAGUAAAACUAAAACUGAUUUUCCCUGACUUAUUCGUGGUCUCUAAACGCUUGGUAAACUUAUUCAAAUUAGUGUCAGAUGAUGAAUAAAGGUCAAAUUUGUUGCAUUCGAAGGAGAGCGAUAGGCAAAAUACUAGAUUUGGUAGUAUUUUUUUGGAGGUUGAUAGGUCGAUAGGCGAAGGGGCAAGGCGAUCAACGGUGCCGGUGAAAGAGCGCGAGGGGGGAAUGUAAGAGAGGGGAAUAUUGAGGGAUCCACGAGCCAGCUCACCCACACCCUCAAGAAUGCCAUGCUAUGCCCUUGAAUUUGGUUCAAGGGCAAUAGAAGAGAUGAGAUCAGCUGCAGCAAGGGGGACUGCGUAGAGUAGCUACGCUGAACAUGCCGGCAGUGGAAAAAUAAACAUCGGCAGUGUUAGGGCGUUUUGUGUGUGUGACCCUUUAGGAAAACAAACAGACCGGCCAACGUAGAGGACCUUUUUACCCGAAUCUAAAUAAAAAGGCAUAAAUUGUAUCGGCUGGCUUCCCGUAGAUGGGCCAAAAUUAACAUUCCCCGGCCCGCGGAAUCCUGGUCACACCCCUGCCCGGGCGCGACCCGCCACGGCGCCACCGACAAUUAAAUAAUUAAUUCAUGCAUACAUAAACGCAUACCUAUUUACAUGCGUUUAUAAAGACACACCAAAAUAAUAUCUGUCUAUAUUAAUUCAUAUUUAAUUAAUUAGCCGCCCCACAUAUAUUUACCGACCCUAUUAAUGUAAUAUAAAUGUAGUAUUUGUAUUUAUAUUUAUUUUAAUAUUUAUAUUUAUUAUUUUUGUGAUUAUUCCCACCCAUUAAUUUAAGUUGAAGAGUCGGGAAUAGGCGGACGCGCCACGAGACAUUAGUAUAGGGAUUUUUAGUUAAGUAUGUGUUAAGUUUUUGAUUUAAAUAUUAUAACGUUUGAAAUGAA